CGUGGCGGACGGGUGAGUAAUGUCUGGGAAACUGCCUGAUGGAGGGGGAUAACUACUGGAAACGGUAGCUAAUACCGCAUAACGUCGCAAGACCAAAGAGGGGGACCUUCGGGCCUCUUGCCAUCGGAUGUGCCCAGAUGGGAUUAGCUAGUAGGUGGGGUAACGGCUCACCUAGGCGACGAUCCCUAGCUGGUCUGAGAGGAUGACCAGCCACACUGGAACUGAGACACGGUCCAG
RNAcentral lists this ribosomal RNA (237 nucleotides) under uncultured bacterium. RNAcentral's name for it is "partial 16S ribosomal RNA". It matches the Rfam family "Bacterial small subunit ribosomal RNA", at positions 94 to 334 of the family's 1533-position model. The record is from RNAcentral.